This 850-nucleotide ribosomal RNA is filed under the name uncultured bacterium. RNAcentral describes it as "bacterial SSU rRNA". It matches the Rfam family "Bacterial small subunit ribosomal RNA", at positions 49 to 886 of the family's 1533-position model. The record is from RNAcentral.
CUACCAUGCUAGUCGAACGGCAGCACAGGAGAGCUUGCUCUCUGGGUGGCGAGUGGCAGACGGGUGAAGAAUACAUCGGAAUCUACUCCGUCGUGGGGGAUAACGUAGGGAAACUUACGCUAAUACCGCAUACUACCUACAGGUGAGAGCAGGGGACCUUCGGGCCUUGCUCGAUUGAAUGACCCGAUGUCAGAUUAUCUAGUUGGCGGGGUAAAGGCCCACCAACGCGACUAUCCGUAUCUGGUCUGAGAGGAUGAUCAGCCACUCUGGAACUGACACACGGUCCACACUCCUACGGGAGGCAGCAGUGGGGAAUAUUGGACAAUGGGCGCAAGCCUGAUCCACCCAUACCGCGUGUGUGAAGAACGCCUUCGGGUUGUAAAGCCCUUUUGUUGGGAAAGAAAUCCAGCUGGCUAAUACCCGGUUGGGAUGACGGUACCCAAAGAAUAAGCACCGGCUAACUUCGUGCCAGCAGCCGCGGUAAUACGAAGGGUGCAAGCGUUACUCGGAAUUACUGGGCGUAAAGCGUGCGUAGGUGGUCGUUUAAGUCCGUUGUGAAAGCCCUGGGCUCAACCUGGGAACUGCAGUGGAUACUGGGCGACUAGAAUGUGGUAGAGGGUAGCGGAAUUCCUGGUGUAGCAGUGAAAUGCGUAAAGAUCAGGAGGAACAUCCAUGGCGAAGGCAGCUACCUGGAACCAACAUUGACACUGAGGCACGAAAGCGUGGGGAGCAAACAGGAUUAAAUACCCCUGGUAGUCCACGCCCUAAACGAUGCCAACUGGAUGUUGGGUGCAAUUUGGCCCCCAGUAUCCAAGCUAACCCGUUAAGUUCCCCCCCUGGGGAGUACGGU